CACAUGUCUGUGGAACUUGUUCAGUUCAUGUCUCAGUUGUUGAAUCUUGUUAUGUUCAUACAAGUAUUUACACAUGUUAAGUUUGCUGAAAAUAAACGCAGUUGACAGUGAGAGGACGUUUAUUGUUUAGUAUGACAACAUUUUGUGACAUUUUGCGAUGUUUUUGUUCGUUUUGGACUUCGGCAAGGGUUUUUUCGGCUGUUCGGGCAACCCAUAACAAUUUCUGGACGCAAGCCGAAGUCUAAGCCCCUUCAUCGAAGAUUGGUCAACAGGUUUGAAUCAACCCAAGAUGAUAAACCCUAAAGUUGGGGCAAAGUGCAUGACAAGCAGACCCAGAGAAAGCCAGCUGUUUGUUCUUAACCCCUACAUUGUCCCAUUAUUCCAAGAGCUCACUAAGUUUGAAUGAAGACCUUGUGUGAGUGAGAAGAUCUGACAAAUAAGAACUGAUGAGGAUUGUUACUGAGCCCCAUAAGGGACACCUGAUGCUGACUUCUCUCUCCUGGAUGCUCUCCUGCCAAAACUGUCCCGUUGUGUGUUUCAUCCCCUCUGAACCCCCUUACCUUGAAUAGAGUUGCCCCUGAUCAUACAUCUAGGAAUCGCAAAUUUUAACUCCAUCUCCCUCUCUCUUUGUCUCCCUCCCCCACAUCCCAUACACAUAGGCACACAAUAUUUUUACAUUAGUGUUGUCAUGAUGGUCUUAUUUGGUUGCGUAUGUGUUUUUGUUGCUUCUAUUGUCAAUUUUGUUGUUGAUUUGUUGUUAAUGUUGUUACCAACUGUAUUUUAAUAAAUAAAAGUAU
Oncorhynchus masou masou (cherry salmon) is the source of this 797-nucleotide long non-coding RNA. RefSeq lists it as uncharacterized. The transcript is spliced from 3 exons. The record is from RefSeq and is a predicted model, not a curated record. Lineage: Eukaryota; Metazoa; Chordata; Actinopteri; Salmoniformes; Salmonidae.